GGUACACGCUGUGACUAGCAUAUCAAUAAGCGGAGGAAAAGAAACUAACAAGGAUUCCCCUAGUAACGGCGAGUGAAGCGGGAAGAGCUCAAAUUUGAAAUCUUAAAGGGUUUCCCUUUACGAAUUGUAGUUUAAAGAAGUGUUUUCUGUUGAGGUUUUGGUAAAAGUUCUUUGGAAUAGGACAUCAUAGAGGGUGAGAAUCCCGUAUUUGACCUUUACUUUCAACUUUGUGAUACACUUUCAAAGAGUCGGAUUGUUUGGGAAUGCAGUCCAAAAUGGGUGGUAAAUUUCAUCUAAAGCUAAAUAUUGGCGAGAGACCGAUAGCGAACAAGGUACCGUGAGGGAAAGAUGAAAAGAACUUUGAAAAGAGAGUUAAACAGUACGUGAAAUUGUCAAAAGGGAAGCGUUUGACACCAGUGUUGUUUUUCUGAAAAUCAAUUAAAGAACUGUUUAUGCUAAGUUGUUUAGACUUUAUCAGCUAACUGUUUAGUUUUGAGCUUUUCUUUAAUGCACUUUUCAGUUAACAAGUCAACAUCAAUUUCUUUUGCUGUAAAAAGCUUGAGGAAGGUGGCUUGAGAUUCGUCUUAAGUGUUUAUAGCCUCUUGCCUAUGCAGUCGGAGAGAUUGAGGUCUGCAGCGUAGAUCCUUCGGGGCUAAAUGCAUUUGUGCUAAGUUAUAGCAUUUUAUAGACAACUUGUUGACUAUGAUUUGUCUUGUAGCUUACUCGCUUAUGUUAUUUUACCUACGCUUAGGAUGUUGACGCGCGUGUGUGCGUG
Molecule: ribosomal RNA, 775 nt
Filed under: uncultured Neocallimastigales
Lineage: Eukaryota; Fungi; Neocallimastigomycota; Neocallimastigomycetes; Neocallimastigales
Description: partial large subunit ribosomal RNA
Rfam family: Eukaryotic large subunit ribosomal RNA
Source: RNAcentral